This 495-nucleotide ribosomal RNA is filed under the name uncultured bacterium. RNAcentral describes it as "partial 16S ribosomal RNA". It matches the Rfam family "Bacterial small subunit ribosomal RNA", at positions 28 to 507 of the family's 1533-position model. The record is from RNAcentral.
GACGAACGCUGGCGGCGUGCCUAAUACAUGCAAGUAGAACGCUGAAGGAGGAGCUUGCUUCUCUGGAUGAGUUGCGAACGGGUGAGUAACGCGUAGGUAACCUGCCUGGUAGCGGGGGAUAACUAUUGGAAACGAUAGCUAAUACCGCAUAAUAGUAGAUGUUGCAUGACAUUUGCUUAAAAGGUGCAAUUGCAUCACUACCAGAUGGACCUGCGUUGUAUUAGCUAGUUGGUGAGGUAACGGCUCACCAAGGCAACGAUACAUAGCCGACCUGAGAGGGUGAUCGGCCACACUGGGACUGAGACACGGCCCAGACUCCUACGGGAGGCAGCAGUAGGGAAUCUUCGGCAAUGGACGGAAGUCUGACCGAGCAACGCCGCGGGAGUGAAGAAGGGUUUCGGAUCGUAAAGCUCUGUUGUAAGAGAAGAACGAGUGUGAGAGUGGAAAGUUCACACUGUGACGGUAUCUUACCAGAAAGGGACGGCUAACUACGUG